This 486-nucleotide ribosomal RNA is filed under the name uncultured bacterium. RNAcentral's name for it is "partial 16S ribosomal RNA". It matches the Rfam family "Bacterial small subunit ribosomal RNA", at positions 30 to 507 of the family's 1533-position model. The record is from RNAcentral.
AUUGAACGCUGGCGGCAUGCCUUACACAUGCAAGUCGAACGGCAGCACGGGUGCUUGCACCUGGUGGCGAGUGGCGAACGGGUGAGUAAUACAUCGGAACAUGUCCUGUAGUGGGGGAUAGCCCGGCGAAAGCCGGAUUAAUACCGCAUACGAUCUACGGAUGAAAGCGGGGGCCCUUCGGGCCUCGCGCUAUAGGGUUGGCCGAUGGCUGAUUAGCUAGUUGGUGGGGUAAAGGCCUACAAAGGCGACGAUCAGUAGCUGGUCUGAGAGGACGACCAGCCACACUGGGACUGAGACACGGCCCAGACUCCUACGGGAGGCAGCAGUGGGGAAUUUUGGACAAUGGGCGAAAGCCUGAUCCAGCAAUGCCGCGUGUGUGAAGAAGGCCUUCGGGUUGUAAAGCACUUUUGUCCGGAAAGAAAUCCUUGGCCCUAAUACGGUCGGGGGAUGACGGUACCGGAAGAAUAAGCACCGGCUAACUACGUG